UUUCGAGUUAUGUAGGCAUGUUUAUAAGGUUAUUUACAGUGAUGUACACCUGGUGGAAUAAUUAUCUGCAGUGGAAACAAUAAUUUUAUUGGCGUUACUGAGCGGAGCGGUUAUAGUAAUACAGUAACGUGAAGGAAAGUUUAGAACACUCAUUGGAUUCCAUCCACGUAACAGCUACCAUAGAGACGAUUCGCUGUGGCAUCAAACAAAGAAAUAUUCAUUGUAAACCAGUCGGUGUGAACUGGGGUCGUCGCGCGCAGCGGAGUUGAGAAUGAGAUGAGAUGAAAAAAGUUGGGUAUAUAAUUAAAAGAGGGAUAGGUUUAUAUUAACAAGUCAUUAGUACACCAGAUGUAACCAUAUAAAUGUGAAUGUUAUAUUUGCAAAAAUAUGUAAACAGUGACUGAUUGAAAGGUAAAUUAAUGAUAAUUAUACGUCCAAAUAUGUAUGUAUAUGAGUAGGCACGGAAAGAGAAUCGGAUUAGAAUUAGCCCCCGGGUUACUGCAUAUUUCCGACGUUUUUACUACAUCCCUUACAUUUUAAAAAUAGCAAACAUAUUAAAUGUGCUGAAUAGCUUUUGUUAAUAUUUCGACAGUAUAAUUUGAGUUUGAAUAUAUUUAAUUGAAAAGUAUAAAAAUUCGUCCAUACGAGAAUAAAAAGUUAAAAAAUGUGUAAGCCCGCCUCUGUGUAUAGUAUUCUUGGUCUCAAGUUCAAAUAACGCAUCAUUAAUUGUAGUAGUUUAUCAGAUAUGACUUAAUUAAUAUCAAUAAGUUAUGUGCGUUAGUGAAAAACGGUGACGGGUUUUACUUUACUGUAAGAAUACGCUCGAAUUGAAAUGUAAAAUCUCAGGUCAAUCGAUCGACCACUUUUCCAGUAAUCCAAGCGAGAACACACGGAAGCCGAAUUUUUAUAUGUAUAAAUUGAUUUACAGUUAUAUACAUUUUUUCUAACGUAAUGUUUGCAAA
Molecule: long non-coding RNA, 962 nt
Organism: Vanessa atalanta (red admiral)
Lineage: Eukaryota; Metazoa; Arthropoda; Insecta; Lepidoptera; Nymphalidae
Exons: 3
Source: RefSeq, a predicted model, not a curated record